AGAGAAGCAGAACAAAAGGAUUUUCAUCAAUAAUCGAUGACUGUGUAUAAGAAGUCCACAUGUCCUGCUCACUUCAUCACACUACAGCACUGGUGAACGAUAUUCUAAGCUUUUCUUUAUACUUUUACAGCAAGCACUUUUUCAGUACACCAGAAAGUCAUGCUUUAAUCUGAGGUUUGUCAGAUUUUAUCUGAUUUUGCCGCAACGUUUGCCUUCAAGCAUGCAAUUACAGUAUUUUUUGUUUAAAAAAAACUUGACAAUAUUAAGAAAAUAAGAACAUUUAACUAUACGUAGAAUUAUUAUUUUUCUCUCUGGUAAAUCUACAACCUUAAGGCGUCCCUUUAAAUAUAAAACCCAAGACAGAAUGUUUUUUGAACACUUUGUAAAAAGCUAAGCUAAGGAACAAACUCCAAAUUACUUUCUUCUUAAUAACAAACUUGUCAGGAGUUUAACAUCUACAUCUUUUACUU
Molecule: long non-coding RNA, 470 nt
Organism: Tachysurus fulvidraco (yellow catfish)
Lineage: Eukaryota; Metazoa; Chordata; Actinopteri; Siluriformes; Bagridae
Exons: 2
Source: RefSeq, a predicted model, not a curated record